GGUCCCGUAGCUCAGCAGGAUAGAGCAUCAGAUUCCUAAUCUGGGGGUCGCGCGUUCGAAUCGCGCCGGGAUCA
This is a transfer RNA of Sinorhizobium saheli, 74 nucleotides long. It matches the Rfam family "tRNA". Rfam says of the family: Transfer RNA (tRNA) molecules are approximately 80 nucleotides in length. Their secondary structure includes four short double-helical elements and three loops (D, anti-codon, and T loops). The record is from Rfam. Lineage: Bacteria; Pseudomonadati; Pseudomonadota; Alphaproteobacteria; Hyphomicrobiales; Rhizobiaceae.